Molecule: ribosomal RNA, 497 nt
Filed under: uncultured bacterium
Lineage: Bacteria
Description: partial 16S ribosomal RNA
Rfam family: Bacterial small subunit ribosomal RNA
Source: RNAcentral
GAUGAACGCUGGCGGCGUGCCUAAUACAUGCAAGUCGAGCGAACAGACGAGGAGCUUGCUCCUCUGACGUUAGCGGCGGACGGGUGAGUAACACGUGGAUAACCUACCUAUAAGACUGGGAUAACUUCGGGAAACCGGAGCUAAUACCGGAUAAUAUAUUGAACCGCAUGGUUCAAUAGUGAAAGACGGUUUUGCUGUCACUUAUAGAUGGAUCCGCGCCGCAUUAGCUAGUUGGUAAGUUAACGGCUUACCAAGGCAACGAUGCGUAGCCGACCUGAGAGGGUGAUCGGCCACACUGGAACUGAGACACGGUCCAGACUCCUACGGGAGGCAGCAGUAGGGAAUCUUCCGCAAUGGGCGAAAGCCUGACGGAGCAACGCCGCGUGAGUGAUGAAGGUCUUCGGAUCGUAAAACUCUGUUAUUAGGGAUGAACAAAUGUGUAAGUAACUAUGCACGUCUUGACGGUACCUAAUCAGAAAGCCACGGCUAACUACGUG